GAUGAACGCUGGCGGCGUGCCUAACACAUGCAAGUCGAACGAUGAAGCCCAGCUUGCUGGGUGGAUUAGUGGCGAACGGGUGAGUAACACGUGAGUAAUCUGCCCUUAACUCUGGGAUAAGCCUGGAAAACUGGGUCUAAUACCGGACAGGAGCGUCCACCGCAUGGUGGGUGUUGGAAAGAUUUAUCGGUUUUGGAUGGACUCGCGGCCUGUCAGCUUGUUGGUGAGGUAUUGGCUCACCAAGGCGACGACCGGUAGCCGGCCUGAGAGGGUGACCGGCCACACUGGGACUGAGACACGGCCCAGACUCCUACGGGAGGCAGCAGUGGGGAAUAGUACACAAUGGGCGCAAGCCUGAUGCAGCGACGCCGCGUGGGGGAUGACGGCCUUCGGGUUGUAAACCUCUUUCAGUAGGGAAGAAGCGAAAGUGACAGUACCUGCAGAAGAAGCACCGGCUAACUACGUG
Molecule: ribosomal RNA, 466 nt
Filed under: uncultured bacterium
Lineage: Bacteria
Description: partial 16S ribosomal RNA
Rfam family: Bacterial small subunit ribosomal RNA
Source: RNAcentral